RNAcentral lists this ribosomal RNA (253 nucleotides) under uncultured bacterium. Its description in RNAcentral is "partial 16S ribosomal RNA". It matches the Rfam family "Bacterial small subunit ribosomal RNA", at positions 524 to 776 of the family's 1533-position model. The record is from RNAcentral.
UACGGAGGGCGCAAGCGUUGUUCGGAAUUACUGGGCGUAAAGCGCGUGUAGGCGGCCUGACAAGUCGGGUGUGAAAUCCCGGAGCUCAACUCCGGAACUGCAUCCGAUACUGUCAGGCUCGAGUCUCGGAGAGGACGGCGGAAUUUCCGGUGUAGAGGUGAAAUUCGUAGAUAUCGGAAGGAACACCAGUGGCGAAGGCGGCCGUCUGGACGAUGACUGACGCUGAGACGCGAAAGCGUGGGGAGCAAACAGG